This 524-nucleotide ribosomal RNA is filed under the name Anchoviella lepidentostole (broadband anchovy). RNAcentral's name for it is "partial large subunit ribosomal RNA". It matches the Rfam family "Bacterial large subunit ribosomal RNA", at positions 1849 to 2568 of the family's 2925-position model. The record is from RNAcentral. Lineage: Eukaryota; Metazoa; Chordata; Actinopteri; Clupeiformes; Engraulidae.
GAGGUCCCACCUGCCCUGUGACUUUUAGUUUAACGGCCGCGGUAUCCUAACCGUGCGAAGGUAGCGCAAUCAAUUGCCUUUUAAAUGAAGGCCUGUAUGAAUGGUAUAACGAGGGUCUAACUGUCUCUUUUUUCUAGUCAGUUAAACUGAUCUGUCCGUGCAGAAGCGGACAUUUUUAUACAAGACGAGAAGACCCUAUGGAGCUUUAGACGCUAGCCAAUUAUGAACAAGCAGCUUAAAAAUAUACAAGCCUCAAGCACCCAUAAAUUAUGGCAAGGCGGUCUUAGGUUGGGGCGACCGCGGGAGAAAACAAAGCUCCCAAGCAGACUGGGGAAACCCUCAAGCCAAGAGUUACAACUCUAAGCCACAAAAACUUUGACUGAAAUGAUCCGAUCAAAAGAUCGAUUAACGGACCAAGUUACCCUAGGGAUAACAGCGCAAUCCCCUCCCAGAGUCCCUAUCGACGAGGGGGUUUACGACCUCGAUGUUGGAUCAGGACAUCCUAAUGGUGCAGCCGCUAUUAA